This 395-nucleotide unclassified non-coding RNA is filed under the name uncultured fungus. RNAcentral's name for it is "partial contains small subunit ribosomal RNA, internal transcribed spacer 1, and 5.8S ribosomal RNA". The stretch from base 1 to 73 matches the Rfam family "Eukaryotic small subunit ribosomal RNA", at positions 1759 to 1831 of the family's 1831-position model. Lineage: Eukaryota; Fungi. The record is from RNAcentral.
UCAAACUUGGUCAUUUAGAGGAAGUAAAAGUCGUAACAAGGUUUCCGUAGGUGAACCUGCGGAAGGAUCAUCAAUGAAUUUCAAAAUUCAUUUUGGCUUUUUGGUGGGUUGGGAAUAAUCCCCCUCCCCUCCAUUUUGCCUUAUCAACCAUCAGUCUCUGUCUAGCCAAGGGUGUCUCGAGAUGCUUUUGUGGCAUCACCCCCGAGCCCUUUGCGAUGGACUUUGACUUUUUGUGAGUAGUUUGGGGCCGGGUUCGCGCUUAGUUUGGCGGGUAUUUUUUAUCUUCCAACAUUACGCAACCCCCUCUCUUACUCGUUACUGUGGGCAACACAUUAAAUUAAAAUACAACUUUUAACGAUGGAUCUCUUGGCUCCCGCAUCGAUGAAGAACGCAGC